This is a small nuclear RNA of Otolemur garnettii (small-eared galago), 140 nucleotides long. Its record names the gene U4. It matches the Rfam family "U4 spliceosomal RNA". Rfam says of the family: U4 small nuclear RNA (U4 snRNA) is a component of the major U2-dependent spliceosome. Lineage: Eukaryota; Metazoa; Chordata; Mammalia; Primates; Galagidae. The record is from Ensembl.
AGUUUUGCACUGUGCCAGUAUCAUAGCUAAUGAUACUUAUCUGAGAUGCAAUUAUUGCUAACUGAAAACUUUUCCCAGUAACCGGCCCAUGAAGACUGGCAAUAUAAUUAGCAUUGGCAAUUCUUGACAGUCUACAUGGG